Long non-coding RNA from Pipistrellus kuhlii (Kuhl's pipistrelle), 938 nucleotides. RefSeq lists it as uncharacterized. NCBI's taxonomy places the organism in Eukaryota, Metazoa, Chordata, Mammalia, Chiroptera, Vespertilionidae. The record is from RefSeq and is a predicted model, not a curated record. The transcript is spliced from 2 exons.
ACUCUUUUUCUGGGCGCUGCUGGUUUCCAGUUCAGGAAAACAAGUCGGUAGGGUAGGCAGGGUUGUCCAAUUAGAAGAAGGACUCUGGGACAAGGAACUGGAAGAACAGCACCAUGAUGCUGACUUUUCAGAGACACAAAUGCAGGGAGAAGAUACAAAAGUAUAAUCUGUUCUGCAAAGAUCAGGGAAGGUGAAAAGAUGGUUGGAAACUACAGAUGACAGCAAUGAAAAAAAUGAAACAAGCAAGCUGAUUCCUGAGGAGAGCGGAAGAAAACAGUGUGAUGGGAGCUGACCAGAACCGAGAAGAUUCCUGGAAGUUUACAUGUGAAGGAAAUCCUGAUUCUGGUUUCCACCUUCCACCUGCCAUGCUUUCCUCUCCCAUAUGGCCCCUAUUCUCGCCUUUUACCACCCCUCAGAGUUCCUACCCUCUUAGAAUCAGUUUGAGGCUAUGGAUGAUAGCCAUUGUUAGCUUAGAACAAAAUUCUAAUUCAGCUCCUUUUCAACAGAUGGAAAAAUUGAGGCCAAUAGUUCCCAAUCCAAUAUGGUUAAAUACCACAUAAUAACUGAAAUCAGUUUUUCUUUAUAAUGUAUUCCUACUGAAAAGUAUAUUUAAAAUUUCUGUCGGAUACAGGAAUUUUGUUUAGCAAAUAACUACAACCUCAAAUCUGAAAUUCACUGUAUAAAGGUGACAUCUGCAACCAUUAGCAUCCUCUAACAAAAUUACAUGCCUUUAAUGAAAGCAAAAAGGUUUGUAAUGUAUUAAAAUUUACUUGAUUUAUCUCUGAUUACUGGGAUUAUUUCCUAAAGUCUAUAUAAUUGAUUAUAGCCUGUGUUAUAGCUGUGGAUGUAUUAUAUACCGGGUCAAAUCUACAAUGACCUCAAGAUAUAACCUGGAACUUGCUUUCUUUAAAAAAAUAAAAUACCUGUUAUCAGCUUGC